This 459-nucleotide ribosomal RNA is filed under the name Triticum aestivum (bread wheat). RNAcentral describes it as "partial small subunit ribosomal RNA". The record is from RNAcentral. Lineage: Eukaryota; Viridiplantae; Streptophyta; Magnoliopsida; Poales; Poaceae.
AUGUUGCGUUUGCAGAACAAAAGGGGAGUUGGAGGCUGGGGCCUAAUUUGCAGAGGUGACGCUCAAGACAUUCGUUUUGCAGUGGCUGGAGCCCAGCAUGAUCUGCACAAUGCCCUACAAGCUGAAGCUGUUGCUCUUUCCAAGGCAGUGACUCUGGCGGAUAGGUUAGGAGUUGGGCGCGUCAUUUUUGAAACUGACUGUAUGGUCCUUAAGCAAGCAAUGAACUCAAACGACUACGAGUUGGCGCAACUGGGUGUUUUGUUUAGUGAUAUCAGGUUCAGACUUAGGACCCUUUUCAUUGAGGCCCAUGUGGUGUAUGUGCCGAGACAGUAUAAUGGACUAGCACAUGUGCUGGCGUCCUUAGGUGCAAGUUUAGCUGAUGGUGGGUACCGUGAGUGGUUCACCAAUUACCCCAAUGACGUAAUUAGUGAUGUGACGGGCGACCAAGCCUUGUCGUAA